ACAUAGUAAACAAUAUACCUUGUCUAGGAAUAUUAUACAUACACUUUAUAUAUGUAUAGGAAGUAGAUGUAUAUACAAGCAAUGGUAGUGAAUGAAAAGACACAGUGAAAAAUAUAAUCUACAUCAGCUUUUUUUCAUUCUUUCAAUUUCCUACAAGGACUAAAGAACAUUCAAGAAGAGAGCUUAUCGCACCAACAGAUGAUAGAUUAUACAAUCUCCUUUGAGAAAAAUUGGCCAUCUUUUGCAUCAUACCUGCAAAAGAAUCACUCAUAAAUAUACAAAAUCAAUGCAAAAAAAUGUGUAUGUAUAUACAUGGCCUCCACACAAAUAUGAACUUCAGAGACAUUUACAUAAUUUUAUAAAUCGCAUUUAAAUUUAAUUUUUUUUUAUAUAUUGGCAAAGUUCACAAACUGGUGGUAUAUUAUUAGUUAUUUGACAAAGAAUAAUGCCUCGUUUCCUAUUAACUACUUAACAUUAACUACAUAUUCAAAUUCCAAAAAGCUUUAAUGUAAGAAAUAUAGAAAGUAUAUCUCUUUUGAAUAAUAAAUUUUUGUCACCCGCAAAGCAGCAGUUAGAGGAGUAACAAACUCUUCCAUUUUGGUUGUGCAACUGACACACAGGACAUAGCAACUUCCAAGUUGGUGCAGGAAUUUAUAUCUACAUGAGAAUUCGGAGAUAGAAUAUAGCUAUCAAAUAUUAGAAAAAAUUUUAGUGGCCAAAUGACUCCAAUAAUAUAUUUGGGCAUCUAAAAAGAGCAACUUAUUGUAAUAUGAUUGCUUGAAUUUACUGAGCUUCCUUGUUCUUUCUUUAUUAUAUUGUCAUUUCAACCACAGUUUCUUGAAGGUUUCAUGUAAGACAUUUUAUAACAUAGUUGUGAAAUACUAAAUAAAUGAUCAAAUUAUAGUUCGCUGCUUAGUUUCACGGGCAAGAAGCAUGAUAUUUCAAGUUUGGCUUAAGAAUUAAGAUUGCUUGAUAAAUUGAAUAUAGAACUAUGGGCAGUACUUAAAAGGGAAAACACCAAAUCAGUUGAUCUGCAAACACCAAAUCAGUUGAUCUGCAGCCUUCCUCUGCACAUGAAAAAAGACCUUACUGAUUGAUAAUCACUUAGUACGUGCAAGGGAGACAUUAUAAAUUUGAUAUUAAAAAAGAGCAUAAUGAAUGGAAAGCCACCUCUCUUGGUGCUUCAUGAUCAUCGUUAUUUCGUCUGCUACAGGUAUAAAAAUUACAUGUUUAAAGUUUCAAAGAUGUUGCAGAAUCACUUGUCUAAAGGUCAUGGCAAGUAUAUUUGUACACGUCGUGUUAGACAAAAUUUCUGUAGUUAUGAUACUUAUAAAGCUUUUGAGCUUUCUCCAUAAACUCGCUGGUAAAAAUUUUCAGAAUGUCAUAUUUUAGACACACCACAACUAUGUUUUAUAAUACAUAAUUCUAGAAGCAAUAAAUAGAAUAGGCAACCAAAUCAAAGAACGGGAAAAAUUUACCAUUGUUUUGGCGAAUAGGCAUUAAACUUUGCUUAAGUUUCGGUAAUUUUCAUUUCCACCGCCAUGAUAUGUAAAGAAGCUAGAUCCGUCAGUCUCAUCUCAUUUCAAUCAAAUAAUGCUUUCCUCAUAUAAGCAGACUGAAAAACCAAACUUUGCCAACAGGAAGUCCUCAAAGGUAGAAGUACAUAGUUGUCAGCAUAAGGAGUGGCCCUGUUGCGGCUAAUAUUUUCAGUUCUCCUGUAUAAAGCUAUGAAAUACAUCAUUAGAUUAUUUGUACAACUAAAAAUGCUCCUUAAAAGAAUAUGAGUGAGACCAAAUAGUAAGCUUCAAGGGGCAUUAAGUCACAGCUAGCUGCUUGGUCCAAGAAGCUUUUGCUAUCAGGCUCCGUAGUUUAUUGAUUGGAAAAUAGUAUUACUAUAAAAAAACUCCAUAGUUCCAAAACCAAGAUACAUUAUCAAACCAUUCUCACCGGUCAUUUUAUUAGACAGAGCUCUUACCAAAAACGAAGAUCACAUUCAUGUGUGAUGUAGCUAAUUUGACGCAUUCUUCAAACCAAAUUCUGAUUACUAUAGAGAUACAUCCAACAUGCACCCCAAUUUAACACCACAAGCAUGUAACUGCAGAAUGCAGAUUGUAUAUCACAAAAACGAAUUCUAGAGAUGAAUUUCGAUCCCCUGCAACCGCCCAUAAACGGAUUAGAAAGAUAACUUUUCCGCUUCAGGUAAAAGCUAAGACAAUUCACUUAUCCCAGAGCUUGAAAACGACCUCGCAAUGGAACAAAAAAAUUAUCAAGAGUGAAGAUAAAAUUCAAACUUCUAGUUAUUUCAAUUAUCUUAGUGAUAACAUGCGCAUAUAAAACUGAAAUAAAAAAUUUCAGGAAUGAACACCCAAAUGAGAUAUCAAGAGAUUAGUAAACAAAGGUUGAUAAGUGUUUACUUAAGAGAAGAAGGGCGCUGGAGGAGAAAAAGAUGAUAGAUCUUCUUACAACAACAACAACAACAACCCAGUGUAAU
This 2491-nucleotide long non-coding RNA is filed under the name Nicotiana tabacum (common tobacco). RNAcentral describes it as "long non-coding RNA (NTAB_LNC003583)". Lineage: Eukaryota; Viridiplantae; Streptophyta; Magnoliopsida; Solanales; Solanaceae. The record is from RNAcentral.